GACGAACGCUGGCGGCGUGCCUAAUACAUGCAAGUCGAACGAGAGCAACCGGUGCUUGCACUGGUCAAUCUAGUGGCGAACGGGUGAGUAACACGUGGGUAACCUGCUCAUCAGAGGGGGAUCACAUCCGGAAACGGAUGCUAAAACCGCAUAGGUCUUCGAACCGCAGGGUUUGAAGAGGAAAAGAGGCGCAAGCUUCUGCUGUUGGGGGGACCCGCGGUGCAUUAGCUGGUUGGUGGGGUAACGGCUCACCCAGGCCGUGAUGCAGAGCCGACGUGAGAGAGUGAUCGGCCACAUUAGGACUGUGACACGGCCCAAACGCCUGCGGGAGGCAGCAGUAGGGUAUCUGCGGCAAUGGUCGCAAGUCUGACGGAGCAACGCGGCGUGAGUGAAGAAGGUGUUCGGAGCGUAAAACUCUGUUGUGAGAGAUGAACCAGUGCUAGAGUAACUGUUAGCUCCUUGACGGUAACUAACCAGAAAGCCACGGCUAACUACGUG
RNAcentral lists this ribosomal RNA (498 nucleotides) under uncultured bacterium. RNAcentral describes it as "partial 16S ribosomal RNA". It matches the Rfam family "Bacterial small subunit ribosomal RNA", at positions 28 to 507 of the family's 1533-position model. The record is from RNAcentral.